This 403-nucleotide ribosomal RNA is filed under the name Serratia symbiotica. RNAcentral's name for it is "bacterial SSU rRNA". It matches the Rfam family "Bacterial small subunit ribosomal RNA", at positions 23 to 422 of the family's 1533-position model. Lineage: Bacteria; Pseudomonadati; Pseudomonadota; Gammaproteobacteria; Enterobacterales; Yersiniaceae. The record is from RNAcentral.
CUCAGAUUGAACGCUGGCGGCAGGCCUAACACAUGCAAGUCGAGCGGUAGCACAAGAGAGCUUGCUCUCUGGGUGACGAGCGGCGGACGGGUGAGUAAUGUCUGGGAAACUGCCUGAUGGCGGGGGAUAACUAGUGGAAACGGUAGCUAAUACCGCAUAACGUCGCAAGACCAAAGUGGGGGACCUUCGGGCCUCACGCCAUCAGAUGUGCCCAGGUGGGAUUAGCUAGUAGGUGGGGUAACGGCUCACCUAGGCGACGAUCCCUAGCUGGUCUGAGAGGAUGACCAGCCACACUGGAACUGAGACACGGUCCAGACUCCUACGGGAGGCAGCAGUGGGGAAUAUUGCACAAUGGGCGCAAGCCUGAUGCAGCCAUGCCGCGUGUGUGAAGAAGGCCUUCGGG